GCCUCGGGCUCCUCAGCAGCCCUGGAUUUGGCCUGGAGCCAGGGGUCUGGGCAGAGGAGAGUGCUUGCUCGGGAGGAGGAGAGGCAGUUCAGGGCCUGGAGGGGACCGGGUGAGCUCAGCCUGGGGCUUCUCCGGGAGGCUGGCAGCUAGAGAGCCUUGUCUCCAGGGGCAGACAUGCACACAGGGAGAGAAAAGCUUGCGGUCAGCAGCCAUGCGAGCCCCGGGAGUGCCUCCUGUCCUCACCAGGGUGGUGGUGGGGGCACCAGAGGUCCCAGCCCCCAUGCUGCCCCACCCUGAUCCUCGGCCUGCGCUCGCUCCUUGCCCUGCCUGCCUGAGCUGCCCCUGCCUUGGCUCCCAGGGGGUUGGGCCCAUCUGCAUGGCUGCCCCCCACCUGCAAGCCCCCUCCUUUGGAGAAGCACCUGUCAGUGUGAGUCUAGGGCUGGGACCUCCCGGGGCUCCUUUUUGGGUUCCCUGGGCGAUUGCACCCCAAAUGUUGUUUCCUAGGUCUGAGGGAGAGAGGUUCUCUAUCUUGCUGCUCAGACGGCCCUGGCCAGGUGACCCAGCUGUGCUGCACUCUCCCCAGCCUUGCUGAGAAGCCUCCACAGAGCCAGGACCAAAGCCUGUGACCCUGAAGCUCCCAGAAGAGUUCCGGGUCAGUCUUACAUCACUGACCUCCUAUCCGCCGGGGCUCUUGGUUACAAACUACGAGAGUAGAUGGUGGUGGAUAAUGGGACGGCUGACAGCAGGAGGGCUGGGGACACAGUAGAGCCACAUGAUACCUGGGGUCCCAGCCAGGGCGGGGCCGUCCCCCAGGUUUAGGACGACACUGCUGUUGCUGUGAAUAAUUUCUAAAGUGUCCCAGCGCCUUCAUCUGUCCCUCAAGAUUCAAAUCCCUGGACAGAAGCACAUGAGUGCCCAUUCCAGAGAGAGAGAGGGAGGCUCCACUUCUGAGGGGGAGCCCAGCUCCUCCUGCCCCCCACGCAUGCUCCACAUGCAUGGCCGGGGGCUUGGGUGUGUUGGGAGGCCAAGACCCUGACAGCCCAAUCAGCAAAAUCCCACGCGUGUGAGGCCAACCUUGAUCCACCCCCGCCCCCUCCUAACACACAUCCUGCCUGCCUGAGUGUGCUUCCUGGCUGCCUGACCUUUGGCCUCCGGUGCAGCCAUGUCCCUGGGCUCCAGCCAGUGGGAUUCGGGGGAUUUCCAAGCCUGGCCCUACUCCUGCCCCACCAUGAUCCUCGCCCUCUUUCUCUGUCUGAGUGGAGAAUUCGGAGGGGCCAAAGGCAGCACAGCAGAGCUGAGUCAAGUGGAGCCUGGAUCCCUGCAUGACCACGUGGACUGCUGCCCACCAUCUGGGAACAAUCCAGGUUGGCCUUCCCCUGACUGAGAAAUAAACUCUACUGUGUCAAGCUGGGGAGUAUGAGGCUCUAUUAGAGCAGCUAGAGUUACCCACCUCAACAAACACAACUCGUGAGCCAGCUAAGGGCACGAUCCACUUUAUGGAUGAAGAAUCUGGCAGUAUGACAAUUCAUGUCUUCAAAAAAUAUCACAUGGCUAAUUCGUGGGAAAGGUCAUACCUAACCCCAGUCUCAGGGUGCUGGAGUGUGGGCUGGAGAACACAGUGGGGAAUCCUGAAGCAGAGGCUGCAGGCACAGCCGACUGUCCCCAGAACUCACUUUGUCCCGGAUCUUGUCAGCAGGCCCUGGGAUUGCCCCAAAAAGAGCUGAGCCCAUGUCUUUGAAUUCAGAUCCUGUGCUCUGUUGACAAAAGGACUUCUUAUCAAAAAGUUAAGUUUUUUUGA
This 1798-nucleotide long non-coding RNA is filed under the name Pan troglodytes (chimpanzee). RNAcentral's name for it is "lncRNA (ENSPTRG00000053158.1)". The record is from RNAcentral. Lineage: Eukaryota; Metazoa; Chordata; Mammalia; Primates; Hominidae.